Molecule: non-coding RNA, 1239 nt
Organism: Cinara cedri
Lineage: Eukaryota; Metazoa; Arthropoda; Insecta; Hemiptera; Aphididae
Source: the annotation of a GenBank genome assembly
UUCUUUACAAUUAUGAUUAGAUGAUGAUUAAAUUAAAGGUUUUAAUCUACACAGUAUAAAUCAUUGGCUCAUUAUAAACUUUUGAUGUCAAGAUUUCUUUUUAAUGUAUACAUCAUAAUGAUAAUAUUUUGUGCCGUUAUAAAUUGUACAUUGCCAUAUUAACUUUUAGGUAAAUGUAAUUAUUCUGGAUUAAAUUUUUGGAUACAACUAUAGAAAUGUUACUCAGGUUCUUAAAUGAUAUACAUUUUUAUUGAUCUAUUUAUAAAAAUGUUCACAUUAUUAAUAAACAUACAAAGUAUAAUUGUAUCUGGGACCUUUAGUGGUUUUUACAGUCACUACUGUGUUUAUAAAAUAUAUCAUAUCUCAAUUUACCCAAUUCAUUAUGUUAUAAAUAUAAGAAAAUGAAAGAGACAAAAUAUCCAGUUCCCAAAAGCUGGAAAUAACCUUUCAAUUUGAAGAUUGUUUAUGCAAGCUUCAAUCAACCAAUUGCAUUGUGUGCUAUUAUGAACUGUCCAGUGUUUUCCUAGUAAAUAAUUUUAUAAUGAUUUUUUAUGAAUUUUCUGUUUUUUUUUUUUUUGUAUUUAAAGCUUUGAAUCAUUGUGUUAUUUUCUUAACUUUGUCAACAUAUUUAUAUUUAUUGAAUCUACAUAAGCAUAUUACAAUUGAUUUUUUCUAAUCGGUUUUUUUUUUCAGAUUUGGAAUGUGUAAAUUCCUUAUUAAUGCAGAAGCCAUAAUGAACUGUAACCCAAGAGCAGUUUAAUGAAAGAUAUAUUCCUGGAAUUUUUUCAUUAUGGAUUUUAAUUUUAUAAUGAUUUUUUAUGAAUUUACUGUUUUUUUUUUUUGUAUUUAAAGCUUUGAAUCAUUGUGUUAUUUUCCAAACUUUGUCAACUUAUUUAUAUUUAUUGAAUCUACAUAUGCACAUUACAAUUGAUUUUUUCUAAUCGGUUGUUUUUUUUUUUCAGAUCUCGAAUGUGUAAAUUCCUUAUUAAUGCAGAAGCCAUAAUGAACUGUAACCCAAGAGCAGUUUAAUGAAAUAUAUUCCUGGAAUUUUUUCAUUAUGGAUUUUGAAUUGUCUCCUCUCAGAAUAUUAAUCACAUUCAGUUUUCUUCAUUCCUCUUUAUUCUGGUGAGUUUUUUUUAUAUUUAAUUAAAUAAGGGACUAUAUUUAUUUUAAUCAUAGAUAGUUUAUAAUAUUUUGCUUGUAAAAAUUUAAUACAAUGGAUAAUAAGUUAUUUUAAGC